RNAcentral lists this transfer RNA (73 nucleotides) under Triticum aestivum (bread wheat). RNAcentral describes it as "tRNA-Tyr (GTA) (tRNA-Tyr-GTA-7-1)". It matches the Rfam family "tRNA". From Rfam's summary of the family: Transfer RNA (tRNA) molecules are approximately 80 nucleotides in length. Their secondary structure includes four short double-helical elements and three loops (D, anti-codon, and T loops). The record is from RNAcentral. Lineage: Eukaryota; Viridiplantae; Streptophyta; Magnoliopsida; Poales; Poaceae.
CCGACUUUAGCUCAGUUGGUAGAGCGGAGGACUGUAGAUCCUUAGGUCACUGGUUCGAAUCCGGUAAGUCGGA